RNAcentral lists this long non-coding RNA (735 nucleotides) under Solanum tuberosum (potato). RNAcentral describes it as "long non-coding RNA (STUB_LNC004709)". Lineage: Eukaryota; Viridiplantae; Streptophyta; Magnoliopsida; Solanales; Solanaceae. The record is from RNAcentral.
UUGACACUGCUAUCUCUUAGGAUUUUAUCAUUAUUUUGAUAGGGAAAAAGAGCUAACCUUCUUUAAAAUGUCUUUUUAAAGGGGUUGCCUAAUUUUCCGGUUGUUUUUUAAGCAAAUGAAAUUUUAAUUGAUUUAGCUGCUACUAUAAAAAUAAAAGAGGGGUUUGUAAAGAAAUGAUUAUGUAGUAUAUGGAUGAUGAACCUUUAAGCAAAUGAAAUUUUAAUUGAUUUAGCUGCUACUCUAUAAAAAUAAAAGAGGGGUUUGUAAAGAAAUGAUUAUGUAGUAUAUGGAUGAUGAACCAAAAAGGUGUAAGAGAAUGAAAUUUUAUUAUUCUGGAAUUCAUCUUUUAUGCAUUUUCUAAAACCAAUAAAUUUUAUCUUUAUUUAUUAAUCAAAAUUGGCUUGGAUAUUUGGAUAUAUAUACAUACAUACAUACUAUUAGCUUACUAUUGGUUUCUUUUAACCAAAUUUAUCAAAGGUUGAAGUAGCUAUUUUUAGAGAAAUUUUCAUUUUAUUUUUUAUUUUAAAAAUAUAAUAUUGUAACGGUAACAUUUGAACUGGCUGAACUAAGUUCAAAUUUAGGGACCGCAUGUCCUCCAUCCAACAAGGGGCUCUGCCAAUUUAGAUUAUCAAGUUGUAUUUGUUGCAAGCAACUAGAUUGAUGAGUCACUUUUGACAAAAUUCAAAUUAUCGAAUUAAAAAGUAUAGAUUUUGUGUUUGGUAAAUAUACUAUGAU